RNAcentral lists this ribosomal RNA (508 nucleotides) under Fusarium pseudograminearum. RNAcentral describes it as "partial 18S ribosomal RNA". The stretch from base 144 to 297 matches the Rfam family "5.8S ribosomal RNA". The record is from RNAcentral. Lineage: Eukaryota; Fungi; Ascomycota; Sordariomycetes; Hypocreales; Nectriaceae.
GGCUCAACUCCCAAACCCCUGUGACAUACCUUAUGUUGCCUCGGCGGAUCAGCCCGCGCCCCCGUAAAACGGGACGGCCCGCCGCAGGAACCCCAAACUCUGUUUUUAGUGGAACUUCUGAGUAUAAAAAACAAAUAAAUCAAAACUUUCAACAACGGAUCUCUUGGUUCUGGCAUCGAUGAAGAACGCAGCAAAAUGCGAUAAGUAAUGUGAAUUGCAGAAUUCAGUGAAUCAUCGAAUCUUUGAACGCACAUUGCGCCCGCCAGUAUUCUGGCGGGCAUGCCUGUUCGAGCGUCAUUUCAACCCUCAAGCCCAGCUUGGUGUUGGGAGCUGCGUCCGCGCACUCCCCAAAUACAUUGGCGGUCACGUCGAGCUUCCAUAGCGUAGUAAUUUACACAUCGUUACUGGUAAUCGUCGCGGCCACGCCGUUAAACCCCAACUUCUGAAUGUUGACCUCGGAUCAGGUAGGAAUACCCGCUGAACUUAAGCAUAUCAAUAAGCGGAGGAA